AAGGAUUUAAGUUAAGCUAAACUAUUAGCCUUCAAAGUUAAAAAUAGAAUUUUUCUAAGCCUUA
RNAcentral lists this transfer RNA (64 nucleotides) under Chaetocnema obesa. Its description in RNAcentral is "tRNA-Trp". It matches the Rfam family "tRNA". From Rfam's summary of the family: Transfer RNA (tRNA) molecules are approximately 80 nucleotides in length. Lineage: Eukaryota; Metazoa; Arthropoda; Insecta; Coleoptera; Chrysomelidae. The record is from RNAcentral.